CAGUCGCCACGGGAAUACGGAGGGGGCUAGCGUUGUUCGGAAUUACUGGGCGUAAAGCGCACGUAGGCGGCUUUACAAGUCAGAGGUGAAAGCCUGGUGCUCAACACCAGAAUUGCCUUUGAGACUGUAUCGCUUGAACGUCGGAGAGGUGAGUGGAAUUCCGAGUGUAGAGGUGAAAUUCGUAGAUAUUCGGAAGAACACCAGUGGCGAAGGCGGCUCACUGGACGACUGUUGACGCUGAGGUGCGAAAGCGUGGGGAGCAAACAGGAUUAGAUACCCCUGUAGUCCCUGUCUCUUAUAC
RNAcentral lists this ribosomal RNA (301 nucleotides) under uncultured bacterium. RNAcentral describes it as "partial 16S ribosomal RNA". It matches the Rfam family "Bacterial small subunit ribosomal RNA", at positions 509 to 807 of the family's 1533-position model. The record is from RNAcentral.